GGGACAGAAAACAUCAGAGGUGAGAGGCCCUCCUGACUGUGCUGUAUUGUUGUUGUACCGUCUCCUUGCGUCCACUAGAGGGCGACAUGCGCUGCAAAGAAACCAGAGACCUACGCAGUUAAAAAAAAAAAGAGAAUCAUCAUGCUUGCUCAGCAGUUUUACACCCUUAAAAAUGACCGCACUGAUCAAUACUGAUACAUAAUGCACACCGUCGGCUGCUGAUGGAUCGGUUCCCUCGUCUCCCCUUACGUUCACUGACCGUCAGCAAGGUCGCAGGACUGGCCUCAGAUCAGUUCCUCCUCUGACUCUGACCAGCUCGGCCUGUCAGAAGUAUUACAUAAAGAGAACAGCGGGCCCUUUCUCUGUUAACACAUUUUUUUCAGUGCCGUGUGCUCGCUCAAUGACAGCUGCAACAGAGCGCGACUGUGGCUCCUGACGCUCUUUCUUCACACUGUGAUAAAGACAGAGGGAGAGUGUCAUCACACACACGGACCCUGCAGCUUCCCCUCUCUGUUUGAUCAUCUCUGGCAGCCAGACAUAACUCUCCCCUUUCCUCCCAAACUACCUGUCGUUGAAAAGCAAACUAUAAACAUCAUUCUGACGGGCAAAACAAAGCCUCCAUUCUUGGUACACAUUUUGGUACCUGGCCGCAGGGAUUUGUUCCCAUUCAGCCUCAAGAGCAUAAGUGAGGUCAGGCGAUGUUGUUGGUUUAUGAGGCCUGGCUUGCAGAGUGUGCUCCAAUUCACGCCCAAAGUCAUGGAAUGGGGUUAAAGUCAGCGCUCUGUGCAGGACUGUGAAGGUCUUUGGUAAACUAAAGACGACAGCGCCUUUGUCGCCAUUGAUCUCAAGCUCUGGAACGACGUGCCCCUGAAGAUGUAAGACGUCUGAGUCAGCGUCUCUUCUAAACACAAACUUUUACUGGAAAGCAUGUCCUGAUCUAAUCUGACACGCUGUUUAUUUUGUCUUUUAGUUGCCUUUUUUUUUAUCUCAGUGUUUUUUUUUAUUGUACUCAUUUUUGCCUAUGAUAAGUGCUCUGUGAAUAAGGUUUCUCCCUUUAAAGUUUCGCUGACAUUGCAAGAUUAAACUGAUACAGACCACUUGUUAGUUAUCUUUGAUUUAAAGUUGUGUUUUUUGCCACCUGCCGCAAUAAUUACUCUCUUUUGGCUCUGUUUUUGGUCUCCACCAACUCCAAAACAGGAUGUAGCUCUUUAGCUGAUUCACUAGCUAAUGUUAAAUGUUGUCUGUCGUUUGAUGCUAGGCAGUCGGCGUACACUGGCAGCUCUCCUCUUUUCUUUGUAUUAAUUAUUUAAGUUGAUCAAAUGCACAGCAGGACUUUCUGCGCUUCACUGUUCAUUCUGACCAAGUUCCUUAAUAAACGUUCACCUUGGUAUUUCCACUGUCACAUUUUGCGACCUUGUUGAUGGAAUUAAAAGCAAAUAUAUAAGCGGUCCAGUCGCGUCACAGAGAUAAUAAAAUGAAACCUGACCGUAGUCUUCGUGUCUCUUCCUGUGGGGAAGUAAUCGACGAUGUGCAACCUGAGAAACUACUCACUAGUGAACGUUAGUCAGUCAUAGUUGAAGUUUAUUUAAGGCUAAAUGGUUAGCAGAGAGUGAGGCUGACCCACAUUCCAUAAAAGAGUUUUUAGCUGUGUUUGCUGUCAGAUCUGAGUGUCUCAAGCACGUUGUGAAAAACAAAAUAAAUCUUAUGUAACUUGUUUUUUUCAGAUUUAAAAAGCACUUGUUCAUCCUCUGCUUGCCCACCAUCUCCUGUUCCUAUGGUAACAAGAAGAGUAUGCGCGGCAGGUUGGUUUUGCAUCAUAUUUGUUUUAGAAAACUGCCCAGUCAACAUGAAUAAUUCUCAACUUUAGGACUCAUUUCUUAUUACAACAAUGUUUCCACUUUUUUCUUCAUGUUUCGAACACAUUUUACGAAAAAAAAAAAAAAGGGAAUCCAGACAUGGUUCGUAUCUUUGGAAACGUUUCUCACCUUUGAGCGAAAAACUGAACAAAAUGUCCCCAACUGUUCCAAAGCCCAGCAGGCCUGGACACGCACCUGGGCAAAAAAAAAAAAAAAUGUCCUACUUUCUCGCCUCUCCAUACGAGCUCACGUGUUUAUGAGUUUAAUAUGAGCAGAGCAGCGAACUGCGGACGCCUACACAAUGAGCUCACUAUUCAUCUGACAAUAAAGCCCUUCGCUCGCUUAAUUACAGCACACCAGUCACUGUGAGGUUUGUAAACAGGGACUGACCGCAUCCAUUUUUUAUUUUUUUUUUUCCACGAGAACAAAACAAAAUGCGUAAGUCCUGACGUGCAGACGGGGGAAAGAAUGAGCAAAACACAGAGCCAGAGAGAGUUAAACAGAGAAAGAGAGAGAGUAAAACAAAUAAAAAAAGGACAGGAGACAAACAGGAACUCAUUUUGUGAGACUAUUUGCCAAACAGCAGCAGCGGGGAUCCUGGUUGCACAACAGAAAGAAUGCAAGCCGACCAGCCGUCCACCAGUCCAGAUGUUGCCUGCAAAGCCUUCCAGAAAGUUCAGUUUCAGUCUGACGGAGGGGAAAUAACGACGUGUUUCACCGGGAAAUCAUAUCUGCAUCAGAUGCUGUGUUCAACUUCAAUAAAUGACUUGAGACUCGA
Molecule: long non-coding RNA, 2634 nt
Organism: Acanthopagrus latus (yellowfin seabream)
Lineage: Eukaryota; Metazoa; Chordata; Actinopteri; Spariformes; Sparidae
Exons: 2
Source: RefSeq, a predicted model, not a curated record